This 314-nucleotide unclassified non-coding RNA is filed under the name plant metagenome. RNAcentral describes it as "partial contains 5.8S ribosomal RNA, internal transcribed spacer 2, and large subunit ribosomal RNA". The stretch from base 1 to 105 matches the Rfam family "5.8S ribosomal RNA", at positions 50 to 154 of the family's 154-position model. The record is from RNAcentral.
GAAAUGCGAUAAUUAAUGUGAAUUGCAGAAUUCAGUGAAUCAUCGAGUCUUUGAACGCACAUUGCGCCCCCUGGUAUUCCGGGGGGCAUGCCUGUCCGAGCGUCAUUGCUGCCCUCAAGCACGGCUUGUGUGUUGGGCUUCCGUCCCUGGCAACGGGGACGGGCCCAAAAGGCAGUGGCGGCACCAUGUCUGGUCCUCGAGCAUAUGGGGCUUUGUCACCCGCUCCCGUAGGUCCAGCUGGCAGCUAGCCUCGCAACCAAUCUUUUUAACCAGGUUGACCUCGGAUCAGGUAGGGAUACCCGCUGAACUUAAGC